AUACGGAGGAUGCGAGCGUUAUCCGGAUUUAUUGGGUUUAAAGGGUGCGUAGGCUGUUUUUCAAGUCAGGGGUGAAAUGCCGGGGCUCAACUCCGGAGCUGCCUUUGAUACUGGGAGGCUGGAAUACUGUUGCCGUGGGAGGAAUGAGUAGUGUAGCGGUGAAAUGCAUAGAUAUUACUCAGAACACCGAUUGCGAAGGCAUCUCACGAAGCAGUGAUUGACGCUGAGGCACGAAAGCGUGGGGAUCAAACAGGAUUAGAUACCCUGGUAGUCCACGCAGUAAACGAUGAUAACUAACCGUCGGCGAUAGACCGCCGGUGGCCAAGCGAAAGCGAUAAGUCAUCCACCUGGGGAGUACGACCGCAAGGUUGAAACUCAAAGGAAUUGACGGGG
RNAcentral lists this ribosomal RNA (393 nucleotides) under uncultured bacterium. Its description in RNAcentral is "partial 16S ribosomal RNA". It matches the Rfam family "Bacterial small subunit ribosomal RNA", at positions 523 to 918 of the family's 1533-position model. The record is from RNAcentral.